This is a non-coding RNA of Phrynosoma platyrhinos (Desert horned lizard), 71 nucleotides long. The record is from the annotation of a GenBank genome assembly. Lineage: Eukaryota; Metazoa; Chordata; Lepidosauria; Squamata; Phrynosomatidae.
ACCAGCGUGGCUUAGCAGUUUGAGUGUUGGACUACAACUCUGGAGACCAGGGUUCAAUUCCCAGAUUGGCC